GGCCGUGUGGCGGAAUGGCAGACGCACUGGACUUAAAAUCCGGCACCAAUAAGGUAUUAUAGGUUCGAAUCCUAUCACGGCUA
RNAcentral lists this transfer RNA (83 nucleotides) under marine sediment metagenome. RNAcentral describes it as "tRNA-Leu". It matches the Rfam family "tRNA". Rfam says of the family: Transfer RNA (tRNA) molecules are approximately 80 nucleotides in length. Their secondary structure includes four short double-helical elements and three loops (D, anti-codon, and T loops). The record is from RNAcentral.